GGAAUAUAAGAAAUUGUCUUUUAAUUUUUAACUAAAAAAACUAAGAACCGGCUCUUAAAUAAGACAUUUAAAAACCGGUUCUUGACCUUUUUACUUAAAAGUUAAGAAACAGUUUCUUAUAUUCC
Brassica napus (rape) is the source of this 125-nucleotide non-coding RNA. NCBI's taxonomy places the organism in Eukaryota, Viridiplantae, Streptophyta, Magnoliopsida, Brassicales, Brassicaceae. The record is from Rfam.